AUGUAGAUGAGGUGAUGUUACACA
RNAcentral lists this microRNA (24 nucleotides) under Oryza sativa (Asian cultivated rice). Its description in RNAcentral is "osa-miR5830". Lineage: Eukaryota; Viridiplantae; Streptophyta; Magnoliopsida; Poales; Poaceae. The record is from miRBase by way of RNAcentral.